AUGCCUGCGUCCACCAUGCAGAGCGAGCCAGACCAUGUGCGUGAGACGCCCAUCACCUGUUCGACGCUUGGCCUCUACCCCGUCGCCAACGCCAUUCAGAUCAACAAGGUGCCCCUACCUGAGUUUGCUGUGUCCCCAACACGAUAUGCAGCCUUCUCCAUCUCCACCUUCAUGGCUGCAGUGUCCGCCUCACUCGAUUCAGAACUUGCUCUCGCCACGCCCACCAUGUGUUCGACCGAGUGCCCUGGAGAAGAAAACAGUGAAACAAGGACCACGCCCACUUCUACAGCAGCGCCGCCGGCAUCCUCGACCAGUGCUAUUCCUGCUAUGUGUGAGGUGAGCAUAGAGGUCAAUUCCAUGGCUCUGAUGGAUAUAACCAGUUCGUCUCCAAUCCUCACAAAGGUCAGAACCACCCAAGCAUUGUCGCCUACCAAGUGUUCGACAGAAGGCCUGAACGGCGAGGCCAGUGUGGCUUGUCUCAAGUAUUUAGUCAGCUCACAUCACCAGUUGCAGCAGGACGUGUGGCUCGCCGAGUUCAAAACUGAAUUGAGGAAGAGCCGUGAGGAAUUGUUGGCAGCCAGGAAGGAGAUGAACUCAGUAUCCUUGCUCACAAUCAGGUUCCUGUUUCAGUGUGUUCCAGGUUAUGGGCUAUUAACAUUAUCAUGGGAUCCUGGACAGCACGCAAUUGAUUCGGCUGCAAUUUUUUGCGAUCGAGGUAUCCUUGCUAUUUGUCACCAGCAACUUUCGGUCCCUAAUGCGAUCAAUUCAUUGUCCACUUGUUAUGGUAUUCCUCAGUUCGAGCAUUUGCAAGAUGUGUUCACUGUAUUACUACAACUAUGGCGUGCUUGGUUCCAAUUGUUAUCUUCUUCUGACCAGAGACUAUUGUUCUGGAACGGGGUGAUGUGCAGGAACUGUUUCCAUCCAUCAAUCAUACGAAUGACUAGCUGCCAGGAGUUGGGUCUUAAUUCCUCAUAUACAUCCCAGCAUCUACAGAUUGCAUGGUCAUUCGUUUGGGAGUUCUCUAGUGUUGGAUCAAGGAGGAUUGCUGUCAGCUUCUUAUUCGAUCCAGCUUAUGGUUUGGCAGUUGUUGUAUCUAGUACUUGGUGCUGGGUUCUUGCAUAUUGUGUUGCCAAUACAGUAUCACUUGAUUAUUCUCAAUUUGAUGUUGAAUCUGCACUAGGCAUGUGUCUGCCAACCAUAGUACCUCCGGCCUCUUUCCACUCCAGUCUUAUGCCACUAGCUGAUGCAAAUUUGAGGUGUACUCAUGUCAAGAAGGCCAACAUGUUCCAGUUGCUCAACAACAAUGACAACAUUCAUGUCAGCAAGGAGCAGGACAAGUCACUAUUAGUACCAUGUCUAGUUCAUGUCAUUGCUACACGGGCAGCAUCUCCGUUUCAACUUCAGUAUUGCUGUGAGAACUUAGGUAUUUGUCAGCAUCCUUAUUUUCAGUGUUACAUGUGUGCACCCACACCAUGGGAUCCAGGAAGGCACAUAAACAAGUUAGGAAGCCUGGUUAUGAACAGAAACUAUGUGUCCAUUGUCUUGUGGCCGUCGCGUCCACCUGAUCGAACAAAGCUUAGUGGCAUGAUUCCCAGUUCGUUGUUGCCUAUGGAUGUGUCUCAAACACAGAGCAAUUUGUUUCUGCAAGAUCAGGGGACUUGGUGUGACAAGCAGUACAAUAGCUGCAAAAGGAUGAUAUGUGCAGAGACAACACAAUAUGCCAUGUCUCCAGCUGUGCCACAUGAAGGAACAUCAUGCCAUAUAUCUAUGGUUGAUAGAGGCAAAUGUGUCCCGUCUUUCGAUGAGAUGAUGGAUAUCGCUUUGGAGGAAGUCGACUUUGACGAUCCGACUACGAACGUGCGAGUACGUCGCGCCUUAGCAAUCGCUAAACCAACUCCGAGAGGUUAUUGA
RNAcentral lists this ribosomal RNA (1911 nucleotides) under Triticum aestivum (bread wheat). RNAcentral's name for it is "partial small subunit ribosomal RNA". The record is from RNAcentral. Lineage: Eukaryota; Viridiplantae; Streptophyta; Magnoliopsida; Poales; Poaceae.